CUCCUACCACCCCUCUGUUCUUCUCUCAUCUCUGAACUGUCGCCGCCGCCGUGCUGCUUUGGGUUCUUCUCCCUCCCCCACCAGGCCACCACCAGUACCCUCUCUCUCUCUCUCUCUCUCUCUCUCUCUCCUAUCACCUGUUGUCUUUCCGAGUUUUCUUUUGCCCUUUUCCCUUUUUUGGUUAGCGUGACGAAACUGCCCCUAGUGGUCAGCAAAAAUCCUUUCUCCAAGUCACUCCAACACCACCUCAAAUCCACACUUCCUAACGACCAAACGCUCACCUCGUCUCUCCAUGAUUUUGAAUUCUUGGUUUGCUUGAUGGGGACGUCAAGUUCCGGCUCACGUUUCGCUUCGCAGAUCCGCAUUCUCGUUCCUGCCUCUCUUUACCUUUGAAAUUUCCAAAUUCUGCGUUGGAUAUUCGAUACUUACAACGAAACAAAAAAAAAGAGUCCUUCACCUUUUUUUUUCAUGGUGUCUGUGCGUGUGUUUUCUUUAAUUCAUUCAUUAAUUUAUUCAUUUAUGCGCCGGUGGUUGACUCUUACUCGGAUGAGGGGUAAUUAGGGCAAGUCAUGGAAGCCGGUGGGUGCGGCCAGAGCUGGGCCUUCCAUGGCUUCCGUGCCGCCAGGUUUGCCAGAGCUGCCCCUGGCCUUGCCAGAAGAGGUCCCCCACGGAGCGCUGCUUUUCCCCGGGGGCAGUCCGGUCAUUUUCAGCCGUUCGUCCUUUUUAUCCCCCGGCGCAAUUGCUCGUGUGGUGGGAGCGUGGCGUGGAGCCUGUGGGCCCCCCCUCCCUACUCGGGUUGAGCGGAGAGUGGAGGGAGACGGAGUCAAAUGCGGGAGUUAAAACGCGGCGCGACGGGGUGGGUGGAGACGGCGCGCGCGACACGUGACGUGGGGGACGCCCGCCCACCGGCCGCGAGCGCGACGAGCCGGAGCUGAGCUGCCCCGGCGCCGCCGUCUGUCGGCGUCGGUGGCUAUGGCCGAUUGGCCGCGGCGAGGCGAGGCGUGGACGUACGGCGCCGCCGCGGAGUGCGCUAGGUGGUUCUCUUGCGUGGCGUGGACACCUGGUCCCACCUGUCGUAUGGUCCUUCCUGGCUGGAGAGUGGGCCCCUCUUCUCCUUUGAACGAAGGGCCCCUGGACCGGACCGCUGGACGUGGUGGGGGUUCAGCUGCGGCGGAUGGUUGGUUAGUUUGGCGGAUGUGUUUCUUUUGCCUAACUAAAAAUGGGGCAUCCAUGGAUGAAAGAAAUCGUUCGGGAAUGGCAAAUCUGCAAGAAGGCACCAUGUAUGUGUUUCCGGAUUUUUUUAGUUAUUUGCCACUCUUAAGUGUGCCAAUCCUGUGUCAAUGACAUGUGGGACCAUAUGAGUCACUGACAUGUGGGUCAGGAAUGACAAAUCUGCAAGAACGCACCGUAAGGAUGGCAUGUUGGUGGCAAAUAACUAAAAAGCCCAGCUCGCUGGAGUGGAGGAUUGAGGCUUCCCUCGCUGGAGUGGAGGAUUGAGGCUGAGGGAGAAGUACAAUAAUGGAUGGCUCUGUCGUGCGUGUGUCAUCAUGUGGUUCCCCCUAUUGGUGGGUGGAUGUGGAUAUUCAUUCAUUCUAGCUGGGGGUUAGGAGGGAGGGGCGGAUCGGGAGCCAUUCCCUAAGCAUGCCUAUGUCGUGGCUCGUUUUCUUUUUCUGGUAGUGUAUAGUAUCAUCAGUGUCGCUGCUCUGUCUGUGCUUGCGCGCUUGUGUUCUGUGUUGUUUUCUGCGAUAGCUGCUGCGUGAUUCUGAAUCCGUGAUCUCGUUGGACAGCUGUUGUGGGAGGUGGGCGCCAUCGAACGGCCGCAGCUUAUUACCUUUCCGACCCCGCUUCCACGCCCCACGGGCCAGCGACCACGGAAGAAACUGAGGCUGCCGGAGAUCCAGCAGCUGGUGCGGUCUCUCGCUGUGGAGAAUGAGAGCCUCCGCCAGGAGAUGCGGGAUUUACAGAGAGCUUGCAAGGCGCUGUCAAAAGAAAAUGACAAGCUUGAGACAACGUUAGGGCAAUCGAACUCUCAGAAUGAAAUCACUUCAAAGGAGCAGAAAGGAAAGGAACAGCUUGAUCAGCAGUCAGUUACACAGUCCUCACGAGACAGCUUCGCGCUACCAGAUCUGAACCUUCCCCCAGAGGACUCUGCCGAUGUUUCAACAGUUCAUUGAUCACUCCAGAUUGCUGCAACUUUGUUAACCGAAUAACAAGUGUACAUAGAGGAAGCAGGGUAGCGGUCUAGGUGGCGGCACAACCACGUCAUCCUAAAGAGAAUGACACGUAUUUGAUAAUUUGUUACUAGAUCACAGAAUUUUACUACCACUAUAGUCAGUAAGUGAUAAGCCACGUCUGUAGCUAAAGGGAAGUCUAAUUUUAACUCACCUGACAUUGUUUUGCCUAGUGCGUUUGCAUAUGGUAGAGCUGAAGAGGAUUUCAGCUCAAACUGAUCUCCACGCUGUAGUGGAUUUAGAUGAAUUUAUUCAUGUUAUUUCGUUCAAUUAGGUGAAAUGUUACCUGUGAAGAUCUGGCAUUUAUGAGAAAACUGUUACUUUUUUCUGUA
This is an RNA transcript of Sorghum bicolor (sorghum), 2563 nucleotides long. RefSeq lists it as uncharacterized. NCBI's taxonomy places the organism in Eukaryota, Viridiplantae, Streptophyta, Magnoliopsida, Poales, Poaceae. The transcript has 5 exons. The record is from RefSeq and is a predicted model, not a curated record.